Molecule: transfer RNA, 69 nt
Filed under: Urocitellus parryii (Arctic ground squirrel)
Lineage: Eukaryota; Metazoa; Chordata; Mammalia; Rodentia; Sciuridae
Also listed under: 2 other names
Description: Spermophilus parryii (Arctic ground squirrel) tRNA
Rfam family: tRNA
About the family: Transfer RNA (tRNA) molecules are approximately 80 nucleotides in length.
Source: Rfam by way of RNAcentral
GGGGCUGUAGCUCAAUGGUAGAGUGCUUGACUAGCACGCAUGAGGCACUGGGUUCAAUCCUCAGCCUUC